This is a long non-coding RNA of Cebus imitator (Panamanian white-faced capuchin), 4916 nucleotides long. RefSeq lists it as uncharacterized. The transcript is spliced from 2 exons. The record is from RefSeq and is a predicted model, not a curated record. NCBI's taxonomy places the organism in Eukaryota, Metazoa, Chordata, Mammalia, Primates, Cebidae.
GCAGGGCUGGAACUGUCAGGCAGCCCAGCAAGGGGCCGAGCCUGGGGAGUGUGGGCAACUCAACGUGGGAGGUGUUCUUGGCAGGCUCACCUGCAGCUUCUGGGCAUGCACUUUCACUGAAUCCUCCUGCAGAUCCUGGGGCACCUGUGCCACCAAGGGCCCUGCUUGCCUGGCUGGCUCCUUGGUGCCCUGACCCACAGCUCCUCUCACUUGCGUGCCACUCCGAAGAGACUGCUGCUUUCUUCUGAAACAGGCCCUCUUCUGUGACUCACUGUCCAUUGUGGUCCCUUCCUGUUCAUUUUCUGCUCUGCUCUUGCUUUUUCUCCCUUGAGGCCAUUAAGUCCACUUCUGGGUCUAAAUCCUGGUUCUGAACCCUAGAGGGGAUCAUUGUCCCCAUGUCAACAGGAAGUAGGGCUAGUGGCAUUUCUACCUCAUCCGAAGUAUGCACUGGGGAGGUUGUGUGAGGUGAGACACAGCUCUUGAGGGCGGCUGGUGUCAUACCCCCAACCCUGGCCUUCUCUUAAGGCCAAGGCUGGGCCCUGCAGGACACCAGCCCAUGGGUAGAUGUUUUUGUGAAUCAGAAUUAGGUGCUAUUCUCCUCUUUGUGUGGAGCAUGGAUUUGAUGGAAAAAGGGAAUGUAAUUGGGGGAGGUGGGAGCCAAGUCUCUGGACAGAGUCGGGAGACUAGUGGCUUACUGAGUUUUGGGAGACAUUCUAGGGCAACAAGGUAUCUUUCAGAAUUUGAUCCACGGCAGCCUUAGGCAGAUGUUUAAGAAUACAGGCUUGUAUCUGGAAUUCGUUUUUAAGGUCUGCUAGCUGUCCAGGGUCAUGGGUUCAUUUGCACAGGUUCCUGCACAUUCUGCUUUUAUCCCUUGGGGACCCAGGACACAUGGGGUCUCUGCUCAGUCUCUGUCUUUAGAAGGAAGCUUCAAGCUGGGCUAUCAGAGCUGAUGGUGAACACACAAUGAUUGUCCCCUGGCCCUGGACGUCUUCCUAAGAGUCCAUGUGCCUGCUCACUCUUCCUCUGAGUCUGGAAGUGCGUCGCAGUGUGUUCCUCUGGCUCCCAGAAUCUGACAUCCGUUUCAUCUCGGAGGAGCACAUCCUGAAUAAAGGUUAUUCUAAUUUUAACAGCAGGAAAUGCUAAGCUCAAUGGUGAACAAGAAAGGCCAUCUCUCCGCAAAGCCUAAUGCAUCUUAGGAAUGUGUGACAAUUUACUUUUUGUUUUCAUUAAAAAAUGUGUUUUAGAGGCAGGGUCUUGCUGUCACCCAGGCUGAAAUGCAGUGGCAUGGUCAGGGCUCAGUAUAACCUCCAACUCCUGGGCUCAAGUGAUCCUCCUGCCUCAGUCUCCUGAAGUGCUGGGAUUACAGGUGUAGGCCACAGCACCUAGCCGUUGUGAAAAUUUAAAUAGUGAUUUUUCCCUCAGUGGCUCUGACACAAGAAGCAGACAGGAGGAGAUAGGGUGCAGGCUCGUGGUCACAGUUUUUCUCCCUUUAAAGUGUUUUCAAUUCCUGAGGCCAGUGGGGCGAAGGAUGACAAACAAAUCACACUUAAUCCUCUAAAUAGUGGUUAAUUCUCAUAACCAGGUGUAUUUCAAUUUGGUUUUUUCGGGGUGGGGGAUUGACAAGUAUUUCAGUUUUUAAGUGUUUUUUUUAAUGAUGAAAAAAAAAUCUACGCAAAAGCAUUUAGUACAACGGACACCCAUAAACGCAGCUACUGAGAUUCAAUAAUUGUCUUAAUUGCUUUGUGUGCAUACAUAUCUGACCAUCUAAAAGUAAACUAGACACCAUAUCACCCCCAAGUACUUCAACAUGUAUUUCUGAAGAGACACACUUAACAAAAUUAAUUUCCUAUAUCUAACACACACACACACACACACGUUCCCACACCUUUUAGCUGCUUUUCUCUCUGCCAAUCCAUGAUCAUGUAUCAUAUGUGGUGGUUCUGUCUCUGAAAUCUUUCGAUAUUGGAAGCAGGAGCCCCUGUGUCCCUUCCCUCCCAGCUUUUCCUGAACACACUGUUGUUUGUUUGAGGUGUUUAAUUCACUCCUGCAUCCUGUGCACUUACUGCAAGGAAGAAGUUGGAUCUAAAGCUCGGUUCAUCCAAGCUGCUGCUUUCUUUCAGGGUAGCUCCUGGGCCCCUGUGCACAGCAGGGCCACGUAGUGUCUGACAUCCAUGAUCAGUGGUAACAUUAGGCUCAGGUGGUAACAACUGGAUCCUUAAUCUGGCUCCCUGUAUUCCUUAAGCAUUUCUCAGUUGUGCCCUUUUCAUGUUCUCCAGAGCUGUGUCCUGGCACCUCUUCUGCGGACAGAGAGCCAGGGCAGGUACCUGCCAUAUUCCCUCUCAGGUCCAGAAAAGAGGUCACAGCAAUGAAAAUGCAGCUGAGGCCAUUUGAUCUCCCUCAACACAAAUGGAUCCUGUGAGUGUGACCUACGUCACAGCCCAUCACCUUCCCCUCGCUGGUUCCUGAAUUGAGGAGGAGGGAGAGGCGAGCUUGAAGUCUGCAUGAGUACACAUCGCUCACAUAAGAGCUAAGAUCCACAGAACGCCUUGCUUUUUCCUAAGAGGUGGCAUGACUGUGUGGCCUUUGGUUAUAAAGCUGUAUGAAACUGAGUAAGUCAAACUUAAUACAAUUCAAACUUAAAGUCAGUGGAAUUUUACUCUGGAGUCUCCAAAAGGGAGGCGGGAAGGAGGGGGAGGGGACAAUGGUUGAAAAGCUACCUUCACUGUUUGGGUGAUGAGUUCAAAGGUAGCCCAAACACCACAUCAUGCAACACAGCCAUGCAGCAAACCUGCACCUGUGCCAACUGAAACUGAAAUUUUAAAAAGCAUUCAAAACAUUGACUCUUGGAAGGGAUGCAGCUAUGCACCUGCAGUCAUAAAGUAUGCAGCGGCCACCUUUGCCUUUCUUUCCCUAUAAACGACCAAAUGCACCAGAGACAAGGACCCUGCGAUCACUGCUCCCUCACUUUGCAGAAUGCAGCCAUUGUAAUGGGCCAAAUCACUGUGGCACACAUAUUGACAUCUCAGCCCCUCCCUGUAGGAGCGAUGCCUUAACUUUCCCACUGGGGAACACUGACCCUGUUUGUGUGGAGCCCGUCCCCCUGGUGGCCGUUGUGAAGUUGUGUGCUCGGAUGCACUUGAGCCUUCCCCAUAUUUUCUAAGCCUCUUCUUUUAAGGUUGACAGCUGGUAAACUUGUACCAGCCAUCUCUAAGGUAGAUCAGAGUCCACUGCAGUGACCAACUCUGUGUAGACAUAGGGACCCCAGAGAAGCGCUUGUCUAUGUACAGAAAAACUGGUUUACUAAAUAAGCUGGUGUUUUGAAAUGUGACACUUUAAGUUUUUAGAGGGAAAACAGUAAUUGGGGAGCGACUGAACCUCCAGCUUUCCAAACGCGUGGCUAUCCUUUCUGCCACACGUGUGGCACAGUGUGUGUGCCAUCAGCUGGAAGAGCAGGGUUUGGGGAAGGGGUUAACAGAUAAGGAGCAUGAAUGACGCUGAGCCUGUCGGGGGGUGCAUGGGCAGUCCUGAGCCGGGGUUGAUGCGGCUAGGGCUUUGUCUCCUCUCACCAGCAGGUGAGUGUUACUUGAGUAUUACCGGCCGGCCUCCUGCUGGUGGGCUUGUUUUCUCCUGGCACGUGUGCCUUGGGAACAUGCGGGUUUCUUCUGUGCCUUUCUCGGACUCAAAGGCUGGCUUCAUCACCACCGAAGGGCUUGUUACCUUUACGAGGUAUUUCAGACUCCCCACACCAUUCUCUAGGUUUUGGUUACUAUAUCUCCAAAACCUGCCAUUUCUUGGCAAAUCUCCAUCCACCAGGUUUCUGAUUAUGUUUGAAGGUUAUCAUCAUCAUCAUGCUGGCAUCUUUGUCUUUUGGUGACCAACUGUUCUCUUACCAGUGUCUGUGAGUGGUUUCAUCUCUUUCAAGUAUGUCCAUCAGUAACAGUGACCUCCUUGUACUAUAAGCCUAUCAAUUUGGGUGGAGACAUUUAAAUAUUUAUAUAUUUUUUGAGACAGGGUCUUACACCGUUGCCCAGUCAGGAGUACAGUGUGGCACGAUCAGAGCUCACUGCAGCUUCCACCUCUGGGAGCUGGGACUAUAGGUAUGCCACCAUGCCUGUCUAAUUUUUUGUGUGUGUUUAGAGAUGAGAUCUUGCUAUAUUGCCUAAGCUGCUCUUAAACUCCUGGCCUCAAGCAAUCCUCUGGCCUUGGCCUCCCCAAGUGCUGGGAUUACAGGUGUGAGUGACUGCACCUGCCCCCAUUUAAGUAUUUAGAAAUUAAUGUCUCAGCAUGUUUUUUCAGAGUUGCAAAGAUAUUUUCACUUACUGAUAAAGGUUUAGUAGAAUUUUAGCUUUCACAACAAGUGAUGAUAUUGAUCCCUUUGGCAUUAUAUCUGUUUAGAAUUUUAGGAAAAUAUGAUUUUAAAAAUUAAAUUUACAUAAAUUAUUUUCAAGGAAGCUGAACAAAUCUGGAUGGGAUGGGGUGAUGGAAAAUACCAUUUGCUUUAAGUUUUGAGAAGCAAUUUUUUUAUUCUUUGGAAACCAGGGUUUAAGAAAUCUCUUCUCCUUGGAGACUUUAAAACUAAAACUGGUGCUAUUUAAGACAGAAGGAAAUGGUAAGAAUUUUCCAAGGCUCAUCAUGAAGAUACACAUCUUUCCCUUGAGAAUAGAGGCUAGAGAACUGCAAGAAGGCAGUUCCCUCUGGAGUCUCCUUUCCUGGGAGAUGCAGCUCCACACGGGUGAGUUUCUGGACAAAAGGAGAAAGGAGGGUGGUAUGUGUCCUAAUAUUUAACUGUUUAUUUGGGAUCAUGUUAUGCAUCUUAAAAAGCAAUAUAAGACAAAAUGUUGGAAAGACAUUUCAAAAUAAUUACCUUGAAGUAAUUCUCAUAAUUCAUAGGUAACAUUUUUGCGUAUUUUGCCUUU